RNAcentral lists this ribosomal RNA (429 nucleotides) under uncultured bacterium. Its description in RNAcentral is "bacterial SSU rRNA". It matches the Rfam family "Bacterial small subunit ribosomal RNA", at positions 355 to 775 of the family's 1533-position model. The record is from RNAcentral.
UGGGGAAUUUUGCGCAAUGGGGGAAACCCUGACGCAGCAACGCCGCGUGAGUGAUGAAGGCCUUCGGGUCGUAAAGCUCUGUCAGAGGGGAAGAAAUGCAGGGGUGCUAAUAUCAUCUUUGCUUGACGGUACCCUCAAAGGAAGCACCGGCUAACUCCGUGCCAGCAGCCGCGGUAAUACGGAGGAUGCGAGCGCUGUUCGGAAUUAUUGGGCGUAAAGCGCGUGUAGGCGGUUUGGUAAGUCUGAUGUGAAAGCCCCGGGCUCAACCUGGGAAGUGCAUUGGAAACUGUCAGACUUGAAUACGGGAGAGGGUAGUGGAAUUCCUAGUGUAGGAGUGAAAUCCGUAGAUAUUAGGAGGAACACAGGUGGCGAAGGCGGCUACCUGGACCGAUAUUGACGCUGAGACGCGAAAGCGUGGGGAGCAAACAG